CCAGCUUAUAUGGAUUACCGUGGGCUACAUGUGUAGCCAUGAUGUCUGUGCGCUGGCUCACAUCGCUUGGUCACCGCAAAUGAAUCAAAAUUGAAGAUAAGCUCACAGGAAGAAAGAUCUCUUACAAUACAUCGACUGAGGUUGAUGAGAGACACCGCCUUAGUUUGAUGCCAGCAGGAUGGAUGCCGUCUCCACUUUGAACAAGAUUUCUUGGACUUGUCCAAAGAGGCUGAUGAGAAGAACUGCCUGCAUGGAUGCUCCCAGAACGUGUUUGCUGUCGAUCUUGGAGAAGAGUUCUUAGCCUUGUUAAAAAGGUUGGUGAGAGACACCAUCUUCUUCUUUGCCUGCAGAAAGGAUGUCAUGUUCCCUUUGAGCAAGAGUUCGUGGACUUGUCAAAAAAACCCCAAGAGUGCCUAGCACAGCCAAAGCAGUCUACCCUCAUCAUGCAGCCAUCAAUGGAGGUCCAGGAACCAGAAGAGAUUGUGAAGGAAGAGACAAGAUGGACCUUUGAGCAUCUCAGAGUACUAACUCAUUGCCAAAAUGAAAUUAAUAAAGUUUUACGGCUUUUAAAAAUCUUUUUAUUCACAGUUUCUGAUGAGUUUGAUUAAAAAACUUGAUAAACUACGAUUUGAGGGCCACAAGUUUAUUGUUGAUGUCUUGGGUAACUAUUUGACAAAGUAAAAUGUGAAUGCAAAGCUUUAAGAAUAAUUUGGACUGUUGAAGUAGGACCUCAUCAAUGCAUGUACCAUGCAAUGAUCAGAAGAAAUUCAGUAACCUCUGAACUGUACAGCUAAGUGUAUUCCUUGAAGUUCUGUCGAUUCUAAACACUUGAAGUAAAAACACACCAACAUAAAGCUUGAUUGUGACUUUGCUAUGAUGUGAAACUUGACUUUAAACUGACCCCAAAACCUGAGGAUUCGACAACCACAAAUCACACAUGUACAUGUUUGCAGCGCCAGUAAAUAAAUUGAUCCAAAUAAAUUAACAACUCAUACAGCGUUUUGUGUUUUUCUGCUGCUAAAUUUUUGAUGGGUUAUGAAAACAAGCAGCCAGGAUCUGCAACGCAAAGCUUUGAAAAUGGUAUAUAUAAACUGACAGCAAAAACUGGCAAAUUUACCCUCUUCUGUUUUCAGUGGUGUGCGUGAAAAUUAACCAACAUCGGCAAAGGUCCUUGCAUCUACAUGUACAUGUAUGAAGUGACAUGAAACAUUCUUGAAACAAGAAGAAAAUGACUUGAUAACAACUCACCCCUUUCUGACCUUCCUGAAUUCAUUGCUCCGCCGGUCACAAGUACAACCAAUGUAACAUUGAUGCAGCCACCAACCUGCGCUGUGUUCCCUAAUGGCCACUAGAACGCGUAGCGAAGUGGAGCAGGUGCACGCUGACGUCUUCUGGUUCCCAGACCUCCGUUGAUGGUAGCACAAUGAGGGUAGACUGCUUUGGCUGUGCUAGGCACUCUUGGAAUUCUGAAAGCAAGUUUAAAAAUUGAAGGGUUUUGAGACUGAAGUAUGCAAUCACUACGUGUACCAAAUGUGAAACUUGUAAAGAGUUUUACACUUUCAUUAGAGUGACACAGAAGAUGUAUAAAACUAUUAAAGAUUUACAUUUGAAAUGCAUGUACAGUAAUUUGGCAGUUUCCAAUAAAUUGAGAGGGUAAAUAUACAAACCAGGAA
RNAcentral lists this long non-coding RNA (1673 nucleotides) under Acanthaster planci (crown-of-thorns starfish). RNAcentral's name for it is "uncharacterized LOC110985531, transcript variant X2". The record is from RNAcentral. Lineage: Eukaryota; Metazoa; Echinodermata; Asteroidea; Valvatida; Acanthasteridae.